AUUGAACGCUGGCGGAAUGCUUUACACAUGCAAGUCGAACGGCAGCACGGGGCAACCCUGGUGGCGAGUGGCGAACGGGUGAGUAAUACAUCGGAACGUGCCCAGUCGUGGGGGAUAACGUAGCGAAAGCUACGCUAAUACCGCAUACGAUCUACGGAUGAAAGCGGGGGAUCGCAAGACCUCGCGCGACUGGAGCGGCCGAUGGCAGAUUAGGUAGUUGGUGGGGUAAAGGCUUACCAAGCCUUCGAUCUGUAGCUGGUCUGAGAGGACGACCAGCCACACUGGGACUGAGACACGGCCCAGACUCCUACGGGAGGCAGCAGUGGGGAAUUUUGGACAAUGGGCGAAAGCCUGAUCCAGCCAUUCCGCGUGCAGGAUGAAGGCCCUCGGGUUGUAAACUGCUUUUGUACGGAACGAAACGGCCUUUUCUAAUACAGAGGGCUAAUGACGGUACCGUAAGAAUAAGCACCGGCUAACUACGUGCCAGCAG
This 490-nucleotide ribosomal RNA is filed under the name uncultured bacterium. RNAcentral describes it as "bacterial SSU rRNA". It matches the Rfam family "Bacterial small subunit ribosomal RNA", at positions 30 to 514 of the family's 1533-position model. The record is from RNAcentral.